This 466-nucleotide ribosomal RNA is filed under the name uncultured bacterium. Its description in RNAcentral is "partial 16S ribosomal RNA". It matches the Rfam family "Bacterial small subunit ribosomal RNA", at positions 28 to 507 of the family's 1533-position model. The record is from RNAcentral.
GAUGAACGCUGGCGGCGUGCUUAACACAUGCAAGUCGAACGGAAAGGCCCAAGCUUGCUUGGGUACUCGAGUGGCGAACGGGUGAGUAACACGUGGGUGAUCUGCCCUGCACUUCGGGAUAAGCCUGGGAAACUGGGUCUAAUACCGGAUAGGACCACAUUUUGGAUGGUGUGGUGGAAAGUUUUUCGGUGUGGGAUGAGCUCGCGGCCUAUCAGCUUGUUGGUGGGGUAAAGGCCUACCAAGGCGUCGACGGGUAGCCGGCCUGAGAGGGUGUACGGCCACAUUGGGACUGAGAUACGGCCCAGACUCCUACGGGAGGCAGCAGUGGGGAAUAUUGCACAAUGGGCGCAAGCCUGAUGCAGCGACGCCGCGUGGGGGAUGACGGCCUUCGGGUUGUAAACUCCUUUCGCUAGGGACGAAGCGUUAUGUGACGGUACCUGGAGAAGAAGCACCGGCUAACUACGUG